UACGGAGGGUGCGAGCGUUGUCCGGAAUCACUGGGCGUAAAGGGCGCGUAGGCGGCUACUUAAGCGUGUGGUGAAAGUCCGGGGCUCAACCCCGGAUCGGCCGUGCGAACUGAGUGGCUUGAGCACUGUAGAGGCAGGUGGAAUUCCGGGAGUAGCGGUGGAAUGCGUAGAGAUCCGGAAGAACACCGGUGGCGAAGGCGGCCUGCUGGGCAGUGGCUGACGCUGAGGCGCGACAGCGUGGGGAGCAAACAGG
This 253-nucleotide ribosomal RNA is filed under the name uncultured bacterium. Its description in RNAcentral is "partial 16S ribosomal RNA". It matches the Rfam family "Bacterial small subunit ribosomal RNA", at positions 524 to 776 of the family's 1533-position model. The record is from RNAcentral.